AUCCCAGAUAAACUUGUUCCAGUAGUUUUUCUGAUUCAUGGAAGGCCAAAAGUGACGAUGGGAGUUUCGCUGAUAGCACCUUCUUUCUUGUUCACUAUGGAGGUGUUUCAUUAGUAGCUUGCCACACAUUA
This is a small nucleolar RNA of Elaeis guineensis (African oil palm), 131 nucleotides long. The record is from RefSeq and is a predicted model, not a curated record. Lineage: Eukaryota; Viridiplantae; Streptophyta; Magnoliopsida; Arecales; Arecaceae.